AAAUCAUGGUGAUGAUAAAUGAUAGUCAUUUUCCACUGUUUGAAACCAAGAAAGCAAAGGGCAGCUUAAUUUACAAGCUCUUUGCAGUCUCAAACUUUUUUGGAAUCAUUUUCAUUUGGAUUUACAGAGCAACUCAUAUUGCAGGAUUUACAGAUGGUGGAAAACUCGUAUGGAUUGGAAUGUUUGGAGCCGAACUGUGGUUCGGUCUUUACUGGAUUUUCACUCAAGCUCUUCGUUGGAACCGUGUUUAUCGCCAGACUUUCAAAAACAGGCUCGCUGAGAGGUUUCUCCUCUUCUUCCAAUAUUUUAUUUGUUUAUAUUACACACACACCAAAAUGAAAUAAGAGCAUGUUUGGCUAAGCCUUUUUGCCAUCUUGUUUUGGCCCACUUACUGCCUAAAUCAGUCAAGAAGCAUCUGCUUAAAAGCUUAGCCACACUUGCUUAAAUCUGCUAGUCCUACAUUUAUUCUUUCCCUGCAUAGUUUCGGUGAUCGUGUGGUAGUAAUAUUCUUGUCCAGCUUUUUAACAUGUUGAUGAACAGGCACGAAAAUGACUUGCCUGAGGUGGAUAUUUUUGUUUGCACUGCUGACCCGACAAUUGAGCCACCAAUGAUGGUGAUCAAUACUGUUCUAUCAGUUAUGGCGUAUGAUUAUCCAACGGAGAAACUCAGUGUGUAUCUCUCAGACGAUGCUGGCUCGGAUCUUACUUUCUAUGCCCUCCUGGAGGCUUCAUACUUGGCCAGGCAUUGGUUACCUUAUUGCAAAA
RNAcentral lists this long non-coding RNA (764 nucleotides) under Olea europaea subsp. europaea. Lineage: Eukaryota; Viridiplantae; Streptophyta; Magnoliopsida; Lamiales; Oleaceae. The record is from RNAcentral.